CUCAACCGUUGAUUAAAAGAUCCAACGGGUGAGAUCAAAAACCUAUUUUCUUCCAUUUUUAAACCUAAACACCACCAAACCCUAGCCAUUUCACAACAAUAGCUGCAUAACUUCUCCUCUCUCUACCUUCUCUCUACGCUUUCCCUCUUCUCUAUUCCUUUUUUCCGCCGUCUAAGCACCGUUGAACGAAUAGCAACAUCGGCCGACCACCGCCGCCAGAAGACAACAGCCCCAACGCCGGCAGCCAUGCCAUCACACCAACCAUGCCAUCACACCGACGAUGCCACCAGCGGAUCCAACCCCCAAAACCAACCAUCUACUGCCGUCAUCGCUAUCAACGCCGACGAAACCAUCUGAGAUGCCGGCCAGCCGCCACCUAGCCACCGUCAAACCCGAACCAGACGCUGGAUUCUCCUCUUCAUCACAUGCAGCAGCCGCUGCUUCCUCCUCUCUGUCGCCGCCGCCACUGUCCAUUUUGUGAGGGGCUUUCAAAAACUCAUCCUCAUGUUUGACCAAAUGUUUAAAUGUUUGUGUUUGAUUUUAAUUAUAAUCUACCCCUUUUUCGUUAGACAGUUUUUUGAUAUUAAAUCGGUAAAAUUUGACUUUGACUUACUAAUUGAUUCUUUCCAAUUCGUGUUUGUUCAUGUCUCUAGAUUGAUAUAUGUGAAAAGCCCUAAAUUUUAUGGACUUUGAUUAAACCCCAAAUUUUCUACUAGUUGAUAUUUUAGUGAUUUUACAAUUCCGGACAAUUUUUAUUGAAUGUUGACAUUUUUUGAUAUGUAAUUGUUGAUAUUUGGCCAUUUUUGAUUUCUAGUAUUACGAUGAAAUGAGAUUGACUCAAGUGGUGGAAAUAUCUCAAUAUAUCCUUUGUUCACUGAUUUGCCUCCUUGAUUUUUAUUUUUCUAUUUAUGGUAAUUUUUUAUCUGUUUAUUUUAAUUGUGAUUGAUGGUAUUGAUUUAAAGAAAGUAUGUCAUUUAACUGAUUUUCUUGCCUUCCGUUUUAAUGGAAUAUUGAUCAUUUAUUAUAACAAAUUUUUCUUCUCUUAAUUGGAUUUGAUUAAGAUAAUCAAGGAAAAGAUUUUGUUGUGAUUUUUUAUGGAAUACCUUGAUCGGAAUUGAUUUUAGUUGCUUGAUUGAUAAUUGACCCCUUUCGUUAAGGAAAGAUUCUUCCUUAAUUGAUUUAUCAGAUAUUAUCUUCCUUUUAUUUUCUCUACUCUUUUGCAAUAUAACUUCCCCUCUUUCAAUCGUCAGAGAUCUCUCAUUAUCCUCUCAUACACUUCUACACUUCUACACUCUUCUACACUACACUUGAGUGUGUAAUUUUAUUUGCUGCUUUUACUUUGGGAUUGCUGGUCCUUGUUUGUUCGUACGGCUGUUAUCCACUUUUGAACAUCCAAUAUUCUUUUGUUAUUGUGCUGUUAAUCGGUUAGUUCUCUUGAACGAUGCAUGAAGUUUCUUUUAUGUUAUUCUAGAUGACUAUGACCUCACUUUGAUUUACUUACUUUAAAUGUUUGAUGACAUGAGCCUUCUAUUCAUUUUUGUGUAAUUAUUUCAUUACUUAUUGGGAUGGUCAUGUUAUUUGCUUUUGUUAAUAUGGCAAGUUUUGCCCUGCUGUUAAAUGUUUUCCCCAGUAGAAUGUUUGUUGUUUGUGAAUCUGAAAUAAUCUUUACGUGUCACAUAACCCCUUAGGAUCUUGACAGCGCCAAGGACUGGUGUUGUGUUGCCAAAGAUAUAUUUCGAAUUUGGGCUGUGUUUUUGUGUUUUGCUUGUGCUCACAGAUUAAAGCCGAACGGUUCAACAAGACAAGAGUUGCCAUGAAUUUUUGAGGGUCGCUGAGGGCUAUCCAAUCUAGCUCUUCUUAGUCUUUCAUUUAAUUCAUUCAUUGUUGGUCUGUAACUUAUUGUACAAAUACUGAUAUAAUAAUAUUUAUGAGACUGCUUGGGGUGGGGAUUUAUGUACUACGUGAAUCACCUAGGCAAAAGAAUAAUCUAGGACUAACGAUAAACUUGCGUGGUCACAUAGAAAGUAUUCUUUAAAAUUACUUUUCAGCAUAUAAAUGUUAAACUCCAGCAUGUUAAUUUACCUUUCAGCGUUAUAAAAAAUGCAUUUUCAGCAUGUUAAUGAACUUUUCAGUAUUAAGAGUGUUUGUAGUAAUUUUCCACGUUUGUAAUUUCUUACAGUCAUUAGCUUAUAACAUGUUUUACACAAAAUUAACAAGCAAAAUGCUUCAACGUAUUUACUUUAUUUCGACAUAUUUUAUCUUUAAAAACUUUACAACAUUAUUUUUAAUGGUUUGACAAUUACUUUUAAUCAAUAAACACGUACUUUUCACUUAGACAUUAUGCUUAACUAUCUUUUACACAAUAAAUUAAUAUUCUUUUUCUUUCACACUUGUUUAACUUUGACAUGUCUUCUCAUGAAUUUUUGCCACAUUGUCAUAAAUGUUUUGACAGUUACUUUUCAAUAAACAAUUGUUGAACACUUAGAUAUCAUGCCUAUAGAUUAAUGACACAAAAAUAAGUUAAUUAUUUGUCUUUGUAUGUUAAUCACAUUAAUCUCUUUAAUAACCAAGAGGUUAACUUGGGAUCAUUAUGUGCUAAGUGACGUCCAAUGUAUUCGCUUGUUAUGUGCUAAGUGACGUCCAAUGUAUUCGCUUGUGUCUUAGGGAAAAUAUAACUUUAUUUUUGUCUAGACCACAAAACCAUAAUACCUCUUGGAUGAUAGGUGGGAUGAGAGGUAUUACUAAAGAUGCUAGUUUUAUCCUUUAUUUUUAGAGCGUCUUUAGGAUAACAACCAGCCUAGAUGGGGUGGGACGAGUAGUCAUUUGGAAGUGAUGAUCUCUAGAGAUAUUACACGACAUUUGAAAUUGUCACUUGUUUAAGAAUUCAUCCAGUGGGUCAGAUAAGGAAUAAACAAGUUGGGGUUCGGAGUUGAAUGAGAUAAAAACGUUUCUUUAUCUGAUUUGACGAAUUCUUUCUUACUCUUUUAUUUACUUUACAUAUUUAUUUAUUUGGGGUAGUCAGUUUAUUACAUAAGUAGUUACCUUUGUUAUAAUUUAUGUCACUUCUCUUUCUCCUCGCUUGUCUUAUUUAUAUAAUUUAUUGACUUUUAUCACCUAGAUAAUUAAUAAUUAGAAAUUAUAAAAUAACAUGUGUUUAUUUAUUCACUAGUUAAACAUUAAGUUAAUAACAAAACAAGAGACCUUUAUUUGAUCAUAUAGAAUUCCCACGUAAAAUACGAAUUCGGCCUGAAAUCAACUUUGUGGACCUUGAAAGGUGCCUAACACCUUUCUUUCAAGGUAAUUUGAACCAUUACCGAAUCUCUGGUGAACUAAGAUAAAAUAAAAAAAAAAGGUUCGUAGUUCGCCUAGAUCGGUGCCCUAACGAACCUUAAUUUGUUAGGUGGCGAUUCUUCACACUCUACCCUUCGGACAAUCCCAAAAAGAGUUUGUCACGUCGAAUUUCACUUUUUGCGAGAAAAAUAGGGCCUGACAGAAUAGAAACUCCGCUAGAGAUCUUAGGUUCUAACCAUUAUGAAUUUGUGUUUUAUGUGUGAUUCUAUUGUUUGUCUGAAUUUUAUUUUGAUUAUGACUUUUCAUGAUUAUUGUUUGUUUUGACACCUCAAUUUAUUUUUCCACAUGUUAGCCCUUCUCCUUUUAUGUGUUUUAUAUUUGUCCAUGCCUAUCCCUUCCCCUCUUCUCCCUUUUGUUGGCUAUACGUUUUGAUAUUUAUUUGUUUUUAUGUUGCUAAGCAUGUUAUUAUAUUUUGCUAUGUGCUACGUAUUACUGCUUUAUAUAACUGGCAUCCCACUCAUUCUUUCCUUCACUUGAAAUCUCUUUUUAUUUUUCUUUUAUGGAUGGUUACUAAGGCUUUCUUCGCCUUGAAGAACAGGAUCCAGAAGUUGAUUAACACCAAAGUGAUAAAUGUGACGGGAUCAAGUUCUAAUGCUUCUUGAUUUUUUAAGCUUGACUGGCACUUGUUGAAAAUGGUGAAGAGAAUAACAUGUUGAUUCUCUAGACUCUCGAACAUUUAAAAUUCCUUCAAGUUUUACAAUUUGUAGUUUCCUUUUACGUUUUCCUUAUGUAAUUUGAACUAUGAUCGAC
This 4101-nucleotide long non-coding RNA is filed under the name Capsicum annuum. Its description in RNAcentral is "long non-coding RNA (CANN_LNC014428)". Lineage: Eukaryota; Viridiplantae; Streptophyta; Magnoliopsida; Solanales; Solanaceae. The record is from RNAcentral.